Nannospalax galili (Upper Galilee mountains blind mole rat) is the source of this 965-nucleotide long non-coding RNA. RefSeq lists it as uncharacterized. The record is from RefSeq and is a predicted model, not a curated record. Lineage: Eukaryota; Metazoa; Chordata; Mammalia; Rodentia; Spalacidae. The transcript is spliced from 6 exons.
CCCUCCCCACAGAGCUGUAGCACUCUGAGCUGUAAAACUUGGGCUCCUGAUGCCCCCCUUUCUAGGUGCUCUUCCUGUGGUUGCUCGCUGCCUUUGUUUUGUUCUGCUUUUUCUUCUGGCUUGCAAUCUUCAGUUGGGCAUUCCACUCCUGUCUUCGCCGAUUGUCUCCUUGAACAGUUCCUGAGUCCGUUUGGGUACAUCUUGCAGGACUCAAGAAUUUCCUGGAGAUGUCCUGAAGUGAAUUGUUAAGAAGUCUCCUAAAACUUCAUGCAUGCUAUCAAGAAGUGAGGACCAUCAUUAUCCAUAUCAGCCACUGUCAGGGAGCUCAGGACACUCAUUGAAGUCAAGAACAUAAACCUGCAUGUUGCACGGAAUGUCUCCCCCAUGCUGAAGUCCCUUCCAUUUAGUCAACCUGAAGAAGCAGAGAAAAUUUGCCUUUUGAUUAAGAACUUCAGAGCAGAGAGGCUUUCCAUCUCUACAGCAUAUGAAGACAAUCAAGCUAACUGGUGAAAUGAAAGGAAGACAAGGUUUCAUAUUAACCUAGAAAGAGGUUUGAUGCUUCCACUGGUGCCUAUUCUAAAGGAUGCCUGAAGUCCCUCCUGUUGUCUUACUGGUCCAGCUCAUGUUAAGGGAGACACUAAGCCAUAACAAUGAGCAACAGCACUGUUCAGAGCUAGCAGCUUUUUACUUUUCGAAGAAUUUAAAGAAGUUUCUGUGAGAGUUCAUGAACCUGUAGACCCACCCACCCCAGGGCUUGGAAACUUUCCACCAGUUAUCUUCAAAGACAUAAUUUUGGAUGGCAUUUACUUAUUCAUUUUUUGUGAAACUCCUAUGUCCCCAAAGAAUCAAAGUUGUGUGUAUGUGUGUGUGUGUAUGCAUGCACAUAUGUGUUUUGAACUUCUGCAUUUAAAUUUGAACAUGAUUUCAUUUGCCAGAAAUUAAGCUAUAGGACACUGUAUGUUGCA